This 812-nucleotide long non-coding RNA is filed under the name Homo sapiens (human). RNAcentral's name for it is "HSALNT0392931". Lineage: Eukaryota; Metazoa; Chordata; Mammalia; Primates; Hominidae. The record is from RNAcentral.
UCAACUAUCAGUCACCGCCUCUGAGACACUGCACGUGCAACUAAUUAGCUAGACCAAGAAGUCUCCAAAGACCUGGAUUCAGAAACCAAACUCCCCUUGAUUACGUGGGCCAUAUUCCUGGUGGCUGGACUUCAUUAACCUUGGCUGUGUUCAGCUAUGGAGGCCUCUGAUCGAGUCAAGAUAUUUUGCUGCCUAGUUGUUGCUGAUUUGAUUCAGGUUUUUAUUACUUUACAAAGGCAAUGCUUAUCCCUGUGGGUGAUAAGAAACCAACAAGGCCCAAGCUGCCAGCAUUGGUUUCCCCUGCCUCUAAACCAGCAUGCUCUAUUUGGGUGUUUAUUACGGGACUUUGGACUGCAGAUGGAAUUGCAAGUGCUCCCUGCUCAGGGAACUUGCCCUCAGAGGGAGAAUGCAGGCCUGCAUAAACCCCAGGAGAUCCAUUGAGGAGACACCUAAAGCAAGUCCAGUGAUGGUGUGACAGGAUGAUGCUGUGAUGCUCAUGGGUCCGUGAAGAUGUGAUGAAAGACAAGUUCAUACUGGAGCAGAGUGGGCCCCAAGUCCAGGGACUGCUGUCCUUCUAAGAAGAGCAGAGGACACAGAUGUGCACGGAGAAGAAGGCCGAGUGAGGAUGGAGGGCGAAGGGUGGGAGCUACGGGGCCACAAGCCACAGGACAGCUGAGGCCACUGCAGGCUGAAGAGGUGAGGAAGGAUCUCUCCCAAGCCUUCAACAGGAGCAGGGCCCUGCAGACACCUUGAUUUCAACUUCCAGCCUCCAGAAAGAGUGUACUCCUUCUACUUACCAAAAAAAAAAAAAA